GUGCAGCAGUCGCGAAAACUCCGCAAUACGCGAAAGCGUGACGGGGCUACCCCGAGUGUCGUCCGCUGAGGACGACUUUUCCACGCUGUAAGGAGGCGUGGGAAUAAGGAGAGGGCAAGUCUGGUGUCAGCCGCCGCGGUAAUACCAGCUCUCCGAGUGGUAGGGACGAUUAUUGGGCUUAAAGCGUCCGUAGCCGGCUCAGCAAGUCUCCCGUUAAAUCCAACGAUUCAAUCGUUGGACUGCGGGAGAUACUGUUGAGCUAGGAGGCGGGAGAGGCCGACGGUAUUCCCGGAGUAGGGGUGAAAUCCUAUAAUCCUAGGGGGACCACCAGUGGCGAAGGCGUUCUGCGAGAACGGGCUCGACGGUGAGGGACGAAAGCCAGGGGCGCAAACGGGAUUAGAUACCCCGGUAGUCC
Molecule: ribosomal RNA, 415 nt
Filed under: uncultured crenarchaeote
Lineage: Archaea; Thermoproteati; Thermoproteota
Description: partial 16S ribosomal RNA
Rfam family: Archaeal small subunit ribosomal RNA
Source: RNAcentral